GAUGAACGCUGGCGGCGUGCCUAACACAUGCAAGUCGAACGGAGUCCAGCCUUUAAGACCUUCGGGUCAAAGAGGGGAAGACUGAGUGGCGGACGGGUGAGUAACACGUGGGCAACCUGGCUCAUAGAGGGGGAUAACAGAGAGAAAUUUCUGCUAAUACCGCAUAAGCACACCCUGCCGCAUGGCAGAGGGUGAACAGAGAAUCGCUAUGAGAUGGACCCGCGUCUGAUUAGCCAGUUGGCAGGGUAAGAGCCCACCAAAGCGACGAUCAGUAGCCGAUAGGAGAGGAAGAACGGACACAUUGGGACUGAGACACGGCCGAAAAUACUACGGGAGGGAGCAGUGGGGGAUAUUGCAAAAUGGGGGGAACCCUGAUGCAGCGACGCCGCGUGAGUGAAGAAGUAUUUCGGUAUGUAAAGCUCUAUCAGCAGGGAAGAUAAUGACAGUACCUGAAUAAGAAGCCCCGGCUAACUACGUG
Molecule: ribosomal RNA, 478 nt
Filed under: uncultured bacterium
Lineage: Bacteria
Description: partial 16S ribosomal RNA
Rfam family: Bacterial small subunit ribosomal RNA
Source: RNAcentral